This 424-nucleotide long non-coding RNA is filed under the name Hordeum vulgare. RNAcentral's name for it is "long non-coding RNA (HVUL_LNC016673)". Lineage: Eukaryota; Viridiplantae; Streptophyta; Magnoliopsida; Poales; Poaceae. The record is from RNAcentral.
GGGGUAUGAACCAUGGUGAAGUUGGAUUACAAUAGAUAUAAUGCUAAUAUGAAUUUAGACUGAGUUUACAACAGUACUUGAAGUGGUGAUUUAUUUUAUUAUACUAACGGAUCUCACGAAGUUUUGUUGAGUUUUGUGUGAUUGAAGUUUUCAAGUUUUGGGUGAGAGCACGAUGGAUGAAGGAAUAAGGAGAGGCAAGAGCCUAAGAUUGGGGAUGCCCGAGGCACCCCAAGGUAAUAUUCAAGAAAGACUCAAGCGUCUAAGCUUGGGGAUGCCCCGGAAGGCAUCCCCUCUUUCGUCUACAAUCUAUUGGUAAUUUUACUCUGAGCUAUAUUUUAAUUCGUCACAUGAUAUGUGCAAAUGCUUGGAGCGUCUUUUGUGUUUAUUUUUCCUUUUUCUUUUAUGCACCAUGCUGGUAUGAGAU